This 327-nucleotide ribosomal RNA is filed under the name uncultured Clostridium sp. RNAcentral's name for it is "bacterial SSU rRNA". It matches the Rfam family "Bacterial small subunit ribosomal RNA", at positions 355 to 699 of the family's 1533-position model. Lineage: Bacteria; Bacillati; Bacillota; Clostridia; Eubacteriales; Clostridiaceae. The record is from RNAcentral.
UGGGGAAUAUUGGGCAAUGGGCGAAAGCCUGACCCAGCAACGCCGCGUGGAGGAAGAAGGUUUUCGGAUCGUAAACUCCUGUCCUCAGGGAAGAGAAGGAGACGGUACCCGAGGAGGAAGCCCCGGCUAACUACGUGCCAGCAGCCGCGGUAAUACGUAGGGGGCGAGCGUUGUCCGGAAUUACUGGGCGUAAAGGGUGAGUAGGCGGUUUUUAAGUGGAUGUGAAAUACCCGGGCUUAACUUGGGGGGUGCAUUCAAAACUGGAGAACUAGAGUACAGGAGAGGAAAGCGGAAUUCCUAGUGUAGCGGUGAAAUGCGUAGAUAUUA